GAUGAAUGCUGGCGGCGCGCCUAACACAUGCAAGUCGAGCGGAAAGGCCCUUCGGGGUACUCGAGCGGCGGACGGCUGAGUAACGCGUGGGAACAUGCCCCAAAGUGAGGAAUAACUGCCCGAAAGGGUAGCUAAUACCGCAUAUGAUCUUCGGAUUAAAGGAUUUAUCCGCUUUGGGAGUGGCCCGCGUACGAUUAGGUAGUUGGUGAGGUAAAGGCUCACCAAGCCGACGAUCGUUAACUGGUCUGAGAGGAUGAUCAGUCAGACUGGAACUGAGACACGGUCCAGACUCCUACGGGAGGCAGCAGUGAGGAAUCUUCCACAAUGGGCGAAAGCCUGAUGGAGCGACGCCGCGUGCAGGAUGAAGGCCUUCGGGUCGUAAACUGCUUUUAUAAGUGAAGAAUAUGUCGGUAACUUAUGAAUAAGCACCGGCUAACUACGUGCCAGCAGCCGCGGUA
Molecule: ribosomal RNA, 458 nt
Filed under: uncultured bacterium
Lineage: Bacteria
Description: partial 16S ribosomal RNA
Rfam family: Bacterial small subunit ribosomal RNA
Source: RNAcentral